GAUACAUUUUAGUAUCGAGAGCCCAUGGCUGAAGCAGAGGUGAUGAAGCCUCAUGCUUUUUUGUCGUCCACCCGUUUCUUCUCCGACUGAGCAUCGAAGCACAACCAGAGAAAAUGCUGGCCUCACCUCACCAUCCUCCUGUAUGCCGUUUUGUCUCUCCUCGGCCAUUGUCUCCCAAGCAAGGAUAUCCUCAUUCGAGGAAACUACUUCCGAGAAGAAUUUCAAGAAUGGAGGUCGCAUGUAGCAGCAAAGAUGGUGGAAAUUCCGGGCAUGAAGAUAACAGACAGCUUUACCUUGGGAUGGACUUCGGCACUUCUGGAGCCAGAUAUGCUCUUAUUGACGAUCAAGGAACCAUUCAGGCCGAGGGGAAACGAAAUUACCCGCAAUAUGUGAGCGAAAACACAAUGGAUUGGGCGACCUCAUGGAAAGCAACACUCUUCUUGCUACUUGAAGAUGUUCCAGUUAGUCUUCGCCCAUUCAUUUCUUCGAUAUCUAUUGACGGGACCUCUGCAACAACCAUCGUCGUUGACAGCACCACGGGGGAGCCAUUAUGCAGACCGUUUCUUUACAAUGAGAGCUUUCCUGAUGCUUUACCCUUGGUUAAAUCAGUUGCUCCUGCAAACCAUACAGUGUGCUCUGGUUCCUCUACCCUUUGCAAACUCGUUUCGUGGUGGAAUUCUCAUGAUUCCAAUAAAGAAUCUUCCUUGUUGCUGCAUCAAGCAGAUUGGCUUCUGUGGCAUCUCCACGGAAAACUUGGAAUCACUGAUUAUAACAACGCUUUGAAGGUUGGAUAUGAUCCUGAGAUUGAGUCGUAUCCACCGUGGCUGCUUCAGCAGCCAUACUCACAGUUGCUACCUUCUGUCAAAGCCCCUGGAACUUCAAUUGGUCAUUUGAAAGAGGAUAUUAGGACACAGUACGGUUUUCCAAAGGAUUGUGUCAUCUGCACAGGAACCACAGAUAGUAUAGCUGCUUUUCUUGCUGCACGGGCUACACAACCUGGGAAAGCUGUAACUUCUUUGGGUUCAACACUUGCUGUUAAACUUCUCAGCACUAAUCGAAUUGAUGAUGCACGCUUUGGGGUGUAUAGCCAUCGCCUUGAUGACAAGUGGCUUGUAGGAGGUGCUUCAAAUACUGGAGGAGCUGCUCUCAGACAAAUUUUCACUGAUGAGCAAUUGGAAGAAUUGAGUAAACAAAUUAAUCCCAUGGAAACUUCUUCUCUAGAUUACUACCCUCUGCCAGCUGUUGGAGAAAGAUUUCCUGUGGCAGACCCACAAAUGGUACCCAGGUUGCAUCCACGCCCAGAAAGCGAUGUAGACUACUUACAUGGAAUUUUUGAAUCCAUUGCUCGCAUUGAGGCAAAGGCUUAUGGGUUACUGAAGGAUCUAGGUGCAACCCAAGUAGACGAAGUUUUCACAGCUGGAGGGGGAGCCAAAAAUGAUAAAUGGACAAAGAUAAGAGAGAGGGUGCUUGGUUUACCUGUAAGUCGGGCAAUUCAGACAGAAGCUUCAUAUGGAGCUGCACUAUUGGCACUGAAAGGUGCUCGAUAAAUCUCUAGAGCAAGAGGAGCCAGACGGAGGAAGCAAUAUCUGCUUGGCUAGGCGAAUUAAGCAGUUACUUUUUUUUGGCUUCAAAUUAAGCAGAUAUUUAUAUUCUUUAUGGAGGGAACAAGAAAUCCUACCUGAUGUGGUAUCUGAAGCAUAAUUGCCAGGUUUGUGUAUGAAGGAAUUGGGCAUGAACAGGCAACCUCUGGGAUCAGAAUUGUUCAGAAUCACUCGUUGGGCCAUUGAUGAAAACAUCAACUGUUGGCAUAAGUUUUUCCAGCCAUAGAGGCGGACUACCUUUCCACACACCUUUGGGGCAAUUUCUACUGGCUAGGUAAUGAGCUAUUUGGACAACAAG
Nelumbo nucifera (sacred lotus) is the source of this 1899-nucleotide RNA transcript. It is a transcript of the gene named xylulose kinase-1, with no coding region annotated. NCBI's taxonomy places the organism in Eukaryota, Viridiplantae, Streptophyta, Magnoliopsida, Proteales, Nelumbonaceae. The record is from RefSeq and is a predicted model, not a curated record.